UACCUGGUUGAUCCUGCCAGUAGUCAUAUGCUUGUGCUCAAAGAUUAAGCCAUGCAUGUCUAAGUACAAGCCUCACUAAGGUGAAACCGCGAAUGGCUCAUUAAAUCACACCUAAUCUACUGGAUAGUUAACAGUUACUUGGAUAACUGCGGUAAUUCUGGAGCUAAUACAUGCACAAAGCCCCGAACUUACGUGAGGGGCGCUUUUAUUAGAUCAAAACCAAACGGCUUCGGCUGUACUCUUGGUGACUCUGAAUAACUUUGGGCUGAUCGUACGGCCUAGCGCCGACGACAUAUCCUUCGAAGGUGUGCCCUAUCAACUGUCGACUGUGGCAUAGACGCCCACAGUGGUUUUGACGGGUAACGGGGAAUCAGGGUUCGAUUCCGGAGAGGGAGCCUUAAAAACGGCUACCACAUCUAAGGAAGGCAGCAGGCACGCAAAUUACCCAAUGACCGAAGGUCGAGGUAGUGACAAAAAAUAACGAUACGGGACUCAUCUGAGGCCCCGUAAUCGGAAUGAGUACACUUUAAAACCGUCCCCGAGGAUCUAUUGGAGGGCAAGUCUGGUGCCAGCAGCCGCGGUAAUUCCAGCUCCAAUAGC
RNAcentral lists this ribosomal RNA (600 nucleotides) under uncultured marine eukaryote. Its description in RNAcentral is "SSU rRNA". It matches the Rfam family "Eukaryotic small subunit ribosomal RNA", at positions 1 to 598 of the family's 1831-position model. The record is from RNAcentral.